UCCGUAGGUGGAUAAUUAAGUCAGGGGUGAAAGUCUGCAGCUCAACUGUAGAAUUGCCCUUGAUACUGGUUGUCUUGAAUCAUUAUGAAGUAGUUAGAAUAUGUAGUGUAGCGGUGAAAUGCAUAGAUAUUACAUAGAAUACCAAUUGCGAAGGCAGAUUACUAAUAAUGUAUUGACACUGAUGGACGAAAGCGUGGGGAGCGAACAGGAUUAGAUACCCUGGUAGUCC
This 229-nucleotide ribosomal RNA is filed under the name uncultured bacterium. RNAcentral describes it as "partial 16S ribosomal RNA". It matches the Rfam family "Bacterial small subunit ribosomal RNA", at positions 568 to 796 of the family's 1533-position model. The record is from RNAcentral.